Molecule: ribosomal RNA, 479 nt
Filed under: uncultured bacterium
Lineage: Bacteria
Description: SSU rRNA
Rfam family: Bacterial small subunit ribosomal RNA
Source: RNAcentral
AGGACGAACGCUGGCGGCGUGCUUAACACAUGCAAGUCGAGCGGUAAGGCUCCUUCGGGAGUACACGAGCGGCGAACGGGUGAGUAACACGUGAGCAAUCUGCCCUUCACUUUGGGAUAACUUCCGGAAACGGAAGCUAAUACCGAAUACGACCAUCGCGGACAUCCGCUGAUGGUGGAAAGUUCCGGCGGUGAAGGAUGAGCUCGCGGCCUAUCAGCUUGUUGGUGAGGUAACGGCCCACCAAGGCGACGACGGGUAGCCGGCCUGAGAGGGUGACCGGCCACACUGGGACUGAGACACGGCCCAGACUCCUACGGGAGGCAGCAGUGGGGAAUAUUGGACAAUGGGCGAAAGCCUGAUCCAGCAACGCCGCGUGAGGGAUGACGGCCUUCGGGUUGUAACCUCUUUCAGCAGGACGAAGCGAAAGUGACGGUACUGCAGAGAAGCACCGGCCAACUACGUGCCAGCAGCCGCGGUAA